AAAUGAAUAGACGGGGACCCGCACAAGCAGCGGAGCAUGUGGUUUAAUUCGAAGAUACGCGAAGAACCUUACCAAGGCUUGACAUCCCCUGACCGGUGUGGAAACACAUCUUUCCAGCAAUGGGCAGGGAGACAGGUGGUGCAUGGUUGUCGUCAGCUCGUGUCGUGAGAUGUUCGGUUAAGUCCGGCAACGAGCGCAACCCCUAUGAUAUGUUGCCAAUAUUAAGUUAGGAACUCAUAUCAGACUGCCGUGGACAACACGGAGGAAGGCGGGGAUGACGUCAAAUCAUCAUGCCCCUUACGUCUUGGGCAACACACGUGCUACAAUGGGCGCAACAAAGAGCAGCGAGACGGCAACGUUGAGCGAAUCUCAAAAAAGCGUUCUCAGUUCAGAUUGCGGGCUGCAACCCGCCCGCAUGAAGUAGGAGUUGCUAGUAAUCCCGAAUCAGAAUGUCGGGGUGAAUGCGUUCCCGGGUCUUGUACACACCGCCCGU
This 493-nucleotide ribosomal RNA is filed under the name uncultured bacterium. Its description in RNAcentral is "bacterial SSU rRNA". It matches the Rfam family "Bacterial small subunit ribosomal RNA", at positions 903 to 1397 of the family's 1533-position model. The record is from RNAcentral.